RNAcentral lists this ribosomal RNA (551 nucleotides) under Charinus neocaledonicus. Its description in RNAcentral is "partial 16S ribosomal RNA". It matches the Rfam family "Bacterial large subunit ribosomal RNA", at positions 1816 to 2600 of the family's 2925-position model. The record is from RNAcentral. Lineage: Eukaryota; Metazoa; Arthropoda; Arachnida; Amblypygi; Charinidae.
GGUUUUUUGAAAUGUAUAGUAUUGUAUAUAAGUGUGAUGAAAAAUCUAACCUGCUCUAUGUAAGAUAUAAAUGGCCGCGGUAUUUUGACUGUGCUAAGGUAGCAUAAUAAUUAGUUUUUUAAUUAGAGACUAGUAUGAAUGGUUGGACGAGGGGGUGUCUGUUUUUAAAGUAAUAUGAAUAUUUGAAGUUAAUUAUGUUGUGAAAAGGCAACUGUGUUAUUGAGGGACGAGAAGACCCUAUCAAGUUUUACAAAAAUUGGCUUUGUAAAUAUAUAAAAUAUUAGUUGGUGAUAUUUAUUAGGUUUAUUUUGUUUGGCUGGGGUGGUCUUGAUAGAGUUAUAUCUUUUAUAAAUAAUUAUGAGUUAUUGAUUAAAUUACAUUGACCCAAUGGGAGAUAUUGAUUGUUGGAUUAAAUUACUGUAGGGAUAACAGCGUAAUAUUGUUGGAGAGUUCAUAUUGAUAACAAAUUUUGCGACCUCGAUGUUGAAUAAAAUGUCUGUUUGGUGAAGAAGCUAAAUUAAGAUAGUCUGUUCGACUAGUAAGUUUUUACA